CCCUUAGAUGUUCUGGGCUGCACGCGCGCUACACUGACAUGUCCAGCGAGCUCCCAACCUGCUCGGCAAAGAAUGGGUACCCUUUUUAACGCAUGUCGUGAUGGGGAUAGAUUAUUGCAAUUGUUGAUCUUGAACGAGGAAUUCCUAGUAAGUGCAAGUCAUUAGCUUGUGCUGAAUACGUCCCUGCCCUUUGUACACACCGCCCGUCGCUCCUACCGAUUGAGUGCUCCGGUGAAGCCUCGGGAUUGUGGUUCUUGCCGCUUUAUUGUGGCGUGACCGCGAGAACUUGUCUAAACCUUAUCAUCUAGAGGAAGGUGAAGUCGUAACA
RNAcentral lists this ribosomal RNA (328 nucleotides) under uncultured eukaryote. RNAcentral's name for it is "partial 18S ribosomal RNA". It matches the Rfam family "Eukaryotic small subunit ribosomal RNA", at positions 1470 to 1796 of the family's 1831-position model. The record is from RNAcentral.